This 376-nucleotide ribosomal RNA is filed under the name uncultured Legionella sp. RNAcentral's name for it is "bacterial SSU rRNA". It matches the Rfam family "Bacterial small subunit ribosomal RNA", at positions 283 to 651 of the family's 1533-position model. The record is from RNAcentral. Lineage: Bacteria; Pseudomonadati; Pseudomonadota; Gammaproteobacteria; Legionellales; Legionellaceae.
GUAGCUGGUCUGAGAGGAUGGCCAGCCACACUGGAACUGAGACACGGUCCAGACUCCUACGGGAGGCAGCAGUGGGGAAUAUUGGACAAUGGGGGCAACCCUGAUCCAGCAAUGCCGCGUGUGUGAAGAAGGCCUGAGGGUUGUAAAGCACUUUCAGUGGGGAGGAGGGUUGAUAGGUUAAGAGCUAGUUAAUUGGACGUUACCCACAGAAGAAGCACCGGCUAACUCCGUGCCAGCAGCCGCGGUAAUACGGAGGGUGCGAGCGUUAAUCGGAAUUACUGGGCGUAAAGGGUGCGUAGGUGGUUGAWUAAGUUAUCUGUGAAAUCCCUGGGCUUAACCUGGGCAGGUCAUAUAUGACUGUUUGACUCGAGUAURG